Molecule: long non-coding RNA, 1432 nt
Organism: Mus musculus (house mouse)
Lineage: Eukaryota; Metazoa; Chordata; Mammalia; Rodentia; Muridae
Gene: Mirc35hg
Product: microRNA cluster 35, host gene
Exons: 2
Source: RefSeq, marked validated
GCACUCCGUCGAGCCCCCGGGUCUCGGCGCCGGAGCCUGCUAGCCUCCUUCCUUGAACACGAUCGUCACACCUGGUGCACCCCUUUCGUCUGCCUCUGGGGCUCGGUGACCAUUCAGCCCUACCCCGCCUGCUGCGUGGAAGAGGCUCCUCCUCAGGUGGCUCGGCCGGGGCCUUCCCCUGCAGACCUGUCACCCGACACCCAGGAAGCGCGCGGCCCCAUCCCGGCUCCUCUUUGUUCCCCCGCUGGGCUCCGCGCUCCGGCGCCACCUCCUCCCGCCAAGGUCCUGGUGAUUUGGGGCGCCGCUCUCGGCUCAACCUGGGCACGCCUCAAGUUCUGUCCAUUGGGCCCGCUCCAAACGAGGGCCCUUUUUUUGCCUAGUUCCUCGGGUGUGGACUCGGAGCAGAGCUGGGAGGCGGCGGUGAGCCCAGCCCGGAGCCGGCGCAGGACUUCCGGAGUGAAUUCCACAACUGUAAAUAAUGUUCCACCAUCCAGUCUGUCCACCUGAGAGCUUCAGACUCAAACUAGAGUUCAUCACACUGAGUGUCCUCCGAGGACGGCAGGUCCUGGAGUGUUGGGUGCAAGGAGCGUCAACCUCAUGCACGGCUCUCGUCUUGGUCCAGAACCUCCGGCAUUGGCAAGGGAGGGAAAGGGAUGGGAAAAAUCUUUAAGCGCUUCACUAAGACCAAAGGAAAGAGCAGCACUGACUUUCUUUUUUUUUUUUAUUUUUUUAUUUUUUUUUUUGUUUUUUCGAGACAGGGUUUCUCUGUAUAGUCUUGGCUGUCCUGGAACUCACUUUGUAGACCAGGCUGGCCUCGAACUCAGAAAUCCGUCUGUUUCUGCCUCCCAAGUGCUGGGAUUAAAGGCGUGCGCCACCACCGCCCGGCAGCACUGACUUUCUUGAGGGUCUUAGAUGUAUCCAAGGCUUCCUGGAACAGGUUUUGCAGUGCCUGCUUCUAGGUUGGUGUGUCUCCUGAGAAUCUGGGCUCUGAUGCAGGAAGAAAUUUUUGUCCUCACCGCAUCUCCCGGCAAAGGAGGAAACCCCUGCAUCAUUUCUUGUGGCAACCAUUUCAGAAGGACCGCUGCCUGGCUCACCAUCUUUGUCCCCUUCAGCCUUCCCCCCUAGAGUUACAACCUGGGAACAGGCACUUGGGAGUUUAGCCCUUCUCAGAGUAUCUUUGCAAAGGAGUUUUUGUUUGGUUGGUUUUUGUUACAAUGUUUCCUGUCUUGUGUGAACCAGUGACACCAUUUAUUUGCCCAGACCAUAAUUCCACCCAGGUUGACCCAAGCUGGCAAAUGUGUGGCCUCCUCUGGACCCUGGCUUCUCACUCAUGUAUUACCCUUUUAAAUGUCAUUGUAUACAUCUUUUAUGGAACCUGCUUCAAGUCAUUCUUCUUAAGUAUUUAAAAGUAGCCUCUUCCUGGAAAAAUAAA